RNAcentral lists this long non-coding RNA (3606 nucleotides) under Gossypium barbadense (sea-island cotton). RNAcentral's name for it is "long non-coding RNA (GBAR_LNC000885)". Lineage: Eukaryota; Viridiplantae; Streptophyta; Magnoliopsida; Malvales; Malvaceae. The record is from RNAcentral.
UGUUGCGGAAGCGACGAUAAUAUUAAUAACAAUAUUAUCAGAAAUAUUUAGAUAAUUAUUAUGCCAACAAUUAUACUAAGAAAAUUCCCAGUUAAAUUGGAGGGGUCACAAUGGUCCCGCUUAAAACCCAACAACUAGACAGAACUCACUUAGAUAUUUAUAGCAAUAAUAACUAAAUAAAUAUAACCAACAUAAAGCUAUUAAAUAAAAGCAAACAAAUAAGAAAUAAAAUACCAGAGAUUUAACGAGGUUCGGCCAAUUUAGCUUACGUCCUCGGACACUACCAAAUCAAUAUUUCCUCUAGAAAUAUUACAAAGGAGAAGAUUUUGGGAUGAUACAACCAAAGGGGGAAGGGUUCUAUAUAUAACAAACCAAACCCCCUCCAUUUCUAUCUUUUCCUAAUGUGGGAUAUUGCCAAUAUUCAACAAAUCUCCACCUUGGCAAUAUUCCACAUCUUCGAACAUCUUCUCAUAACACAAACUUCAAUAGUGUCUUCAAAUUUGCAACCAAUCGCCUUCUUCCCUUUUGGUAGUUGUGCCAGCUUCCACGUCUUGUUUUUCUCUAGAGAUUGCAUUUCCUCUUCCAUUGCACCUAACCAUCUAUUAUUCUCUAAACUCUGAAUGGCUUCGGUGUAAGUGGAUGGAAUAUUAUCAACAACUGGAAGUGCAUAAGCUACCAUGUCAGUGAAACGAGCAGGUUUCUGAAUUUCUCGUCUCUGCCUUCUGACUGCAAUUGGCUCUGAUUGCUGUUGAGGUUCUUGGGUAGAAACCUCUUCCUCAUCUGACUCUGCAUCUGCCAAUGAAGAAUCACUAGUGGUACCUUUUGCUGGAAUUACCACACUCUGCUCAAACUCCACCUGCUGCGGAGUACACUCCACCUGCUGCGAAGUACUACUCACUCCUUCUGGAUUUACCUUAUUCAACAUGGCAGAUUCAUGAAAGGUAACAUCCCUACUGAUUAUCGUCUUCUUUGCCUCUAGACACCACAAACGAUAUCCCUUAACACCAGCAUUGAAGCCCAUGAAUAGAGCCUUCUUUGCUCUUGGAUCUAACUUUGAUUCUUUCACAUGAUAAUAUGCAAUAGAACCAAAAAUGCGCAAGGUGUCAUAAUCAGUAGCAGGUUUUCCAUACCAUUUCUCCAAAGGAGUCUUGCCAUUUAUAGCAGAUGAUGGCAAAUGAUUGAUGAGAUGUUGAGCGUACGUCACAGCCUCAGUCCAAAACUUUCUAUCUAAUCCAGCAUUAGAUAACAUACAUCGAACUUUCUCCACAAGCGUUCGAUUCAUACGCUCUGCCACCCCAUUCUGUUGCGGUGUUCCACCUACGGUGAAGUGCCUUACUAUGCCACAAUCUUGGCAUAUCUUCAGGAAAGGAUCGCUUUUAUAUUCUCCACCGUUGUCUGAUCGGAGAACCUUAAUCUUCCUUCCUGUCUGAUUUUCAACUUUAGUUUUCCACUUAAGGAAAACUUCAAGCACCUCAUCUUUGUUCUUCAUAGGAAACACCCAAACUCGUCUGGAAAAAUCAUCAAUAAAGGUGACAAAAUAACGUCUUCCUCCAAGUGAUGGAGUCUUGGACGGUCCCCAUACAUCAGAAUGCACAUAAUCCAGAAUACCUUUAGUAUUGUGAAUCCCAGUGCCAAAUUUCACCCUUCGUUGUUUUCCCAGAACACAAUGCUCGCAAAAUUCAAGUUUGCAAGUCUUUGUACCUUUCAAUAAUCCUUGCUUGGCUAGAGUUUGCAAGGAUUUUUCACCAGCAUGGCCCAAACGCAUAUGCCACAGCUGUGUUGCCUCAGCGUCCUUCUUGGUACUCGUAAUUGCUGCUGCUGUUGUCCCGACCACUGUACUACCUUGGUAGUAAUACAGAUUGUUCUUUCUUAUGCCUUUCAACAUCACCAAUGCUCCUGAAGUUGCUUUAAGAACUCCAUCUCGUAUUGUCACAACUAGGCCUUUAGAUUCUAACGACCCCAAAGAGAUGAGAUUCUUCUUCAACUUUGGGACAUAUCGUACAUCCCGCAAAAUUCUAGUAGAUCCAUCAUGACUCCUCAGUUUAAUUGAACCUAUCCCGGCUAUUUUACAUGUGUUAUCAUUACCCAUGUAAACAACCCCUUCAUCUAGUUUUUGAAAUUCAAAGAACCAUUCCCGAAUGGGACACAUAUGAUAGGAACAACCAGAAUCCAUGAUCCACUCAUCUGCAUAUAAUGUUGAAGAUGUCAUACUAAGAGAAAAGUCUGACUCUGCUUCACUAUUGCAUUCUGCAACAUUUGCAUCUUGCGGAGUCUUCCCUUUUUUCUUCAAUUUUGGACAAUCUUUCUUCCAAUGUCCUUUUUCUUUGCAAAAAAAACAUUCAUCUUUGGCAACAGCUCGACCUUUGGACUUUCUUCUCUUCCCCUUAGACUGACUUUGCUGACGACCUCUUGUUACCAAUGCUUCCACUGCUGCUUCACCUGAACCUUUCAACUUAUCCUUUCGGCGUAGUUCAUAGCUAUACAAUGCAGCAGUUACUUCAUUGAAAGUUACUUCCGAUUUUCCAUGAAGUAGAGUAGUUUCAAGGUACUCAAACUCCUCAGGAAGCGAUCCCAACAACAUUAACGCCAAGUCUUCGUCUUCAAAAGUCACAUCCAAAUUCAACAAAUCAGCCACCAGCUGAUUAAAAUUGGUAAUGUGCUCGUUCAUCGUGGUACCAGGAACAUAACUGAAACGAAACAGUCUUUUCUUCAUAUGUAACUUAUUUUGACUGUUCUUCUUCAGAAAUUUCUCCUCCAAUGCUUUCCACAAUUUACUUGCAGAAGUCUCUUUACUGAAUGUAUACUUCUGCUCUCUGGAAAGACAUGAUCGAAUUGUACCACAUGCCAAUCGGUUGAUGGUCUUCCAUUCUUUAUCAUCAACCCCUUCUGGUUUUUCUUCCUCAAUGGCAAUAUCUAGACCCUGUUGAAAGAGGGCAUCUAGAAGCUCACUUUGCCACAUGCCGAAAUGACCUGUUCCAUCAAAAAUUUCCACUGCAAAUCUCGUAUUUGCAGUUCCAAUCCUCGGCAAAAUGUACGAAGUGGAAGUUGUUGAUAUGGAUGGUUUUUCUUCUGUCAUUUUUGCCAUAGCUUCUACUUAAUAGCCACCAAAUGCAGAAUACCCACAAGCUUUCGGAAAUGUUUCUGAUGUGUAAGAUCAGACUAAGCUGCAAACACAGAGCAUACUACAAAACCUUGGCUCGGAUACCAAUUGUUGCGGAAGCGACGAUAAUAUUAAUAACAAUAUUAUCAGAAAUAUUUAGAUAAUUAUUAUGCCAACAAUUAUACUAAGAAAAUUCCCAGUUAAAUUGGAGGGGUCACAAUGGUCCCGCUUAAAACCCAACAACUAGACAGAACUCACUUAGAUAUUUAUAGCAAUAAUAACUAAAUAAAUAUAACCAACAUAAAGCUAUUAAAUAAAAGCAAACAAAUAAGAAAUAAAAUACCAGAGAUUUAACGAGGUUCGGCCAAUUUAGCUUACGUCCUCGGACACUACCAAAUCAAUAUUUCCUCUAGAAAUAUUACAAAGGAGAAGAUUUUGGGAUGAUACAACCAAAGGGGGAAGGGUUCUAUAUAUAACAAACCAAACCCCCUCCAUUUCUAUCUUUU